AAGGCGAGCUCCACGCCCCAGAAGCAACCCGCGCCGAACUGAGCGAACUGCUGCCCCGGAGCUGGGAGGUCGUCGUCGGGUCCCUGGGCGAUAGCGGAGGAGUGGGGGUCCAGGGAGGGCUCCGGUGGAGUGCGAGCGCCGAACCCGAGCUUUCCCAGCCAACUCAUGGAAGUUAAGAGGGAAGAGGGCUUAGGGUUUUUAGAGGGAGAAAGAAAGAAUUUUUUGGGGAGAGAAAUUGAAGGUCUGGAGAAGCAGGAGAGAAGAGGAGUUGCCUUGGUGCUGGUGGACGACGAUGCUAAGGCGUUGAACAUCCUUUUGCGUGACGUGUCAGAUUUUU
This 337-nucleotide long non-coding RNA is filed under the name Vitis vinifera (wine grape). RNAcentral describes it as "long non-coding RNA (VVIN_LNC005348)". The record is from RNAcentral. Lineage: Eukaryota; Viridiplantae; Streptophyta; Magnoliopsida; Vitales; Vitaceae.